GGUUGCGAUCAUAUACCAGCACUAGUGCACCGGAUCCCAUCAGAACUCCGCAGUUAAGCGUGCUUGGGCGAGAGUAGUACUAGGAUGGGUGACCCCCUGGGAAGUCCUCGUGUUGCAACCC
Molecule: ribosomal RNA, 121 nt
Filed under: Helianthus annuus (common sunflower)
Lineage: Eukaryota; Viridiplantae; Streptophyta; Magnoliopsida; Asterales; Asteraceae
Source: RNAcentral